CCCAAAUUAAUAACCUUAACGUUUAUAAAACACGAAAGUUUCAGAUAUAAGUUAGUUUAGUUUAAGUUUUUAUAGGUGUUAUUUAUGUCUCUGACGUAGAUCGAUGGUAAAAUCAUGUUUGAUAUUUUCUUUUUCAUGUUGAUUUUCUUCACAACACAGGUUGGACUGGUGUUGCCACCUGGAGAUGGGUAGCCAACGAUGAAAACUGUGGAAUUUGUAGGAUGGCUUUUGAUGGAUGCUGUCCAGAUUGUAAAUUACCUGGAGAUGAUUGUCCAUUAGUUUGGGGAGAAUGUUCGCAUUGUUUCCACAUCCACUGUAUUGUUAAAUGGCUGAACUCCCAACAGGUCAACCAGCUGUGUCCAAUGUGUCGACAGGACUGGAAAUUCAAGAGUGACACCGAGGCCAUGGGAACGUGACAACAGUGGGAUCAGUGUGUUCCCAAUCUAGAUCUGUAUCAUCAAUGUGUUAACGUUGAACACUGUGUACAAUUUGAUGAACUUGUUCAUAUGAGGGGAGAAGUGGAAUGUGUUUUACAUUGGUAUCUUAUUCUUAACUUUGAGAAUUAUGCUGUUUUCCUGGUGCAUUUUGAUUUUGUAACAAUUUUACAUAUAAAUACAAUGAUUAAAAACUUGA
This is a long non-coding RNA of Magallana angulata, 633 nucleotides long. RefSeq lists it as uncharacterized. The transcript has 3 exons. The record is from RefSeq and is a predicted model, not a curated record. NCBI's taxonomy places the organism in Eukaryota, Metazoa, Mollusca, Bivalvia, Ostreida, Ostreidae.